CAAACUUUCAACAACGGAUCUCUUGGUUCUGGCAUCGAUGAAGAACGCAGCGAAAUGCGAUAAGUAAUGUGAAUUGCAGAAUUCAGUGAAUCAUCGAAUCUUUGAACGCACAUUGCGCCCCUCGGUAUUCCGGGGGGCAUGCCUGUUCGAGCGUCAUUG
RNAcentral lists this ribosomal RNA (159 nucleotides) under Biatora hertelii. Its description in RNAcentral is "5.8S ribosomal RNA". It matches the Rfam family "5.8S ribosomal RNA". From Rfam's summary of the family: 5.8S ribosomal RNA (5.8S rRNA) is a component of the large subunit of the eukaryotic ribosome. The record is from RNAcentral. Lineage: Eukaryota; Fungi; Ascomycota; Lecanoromycetes; Lecanorales; Ramalinaceae.